AAGAUCGGCAUGGUAGUGUUGUUAUGUAGGUUCAUUGCCGUUCUCUAAUAGUGUGUCUGUGUGUCACAUUCUCUGAUGCCAGCGUUCUUGACCUGACAAUGCCAAUCAGUGUCUGUUGACUACGGCUCACGUAACACAACCAUACAAUGGACAUGCACACACACACACACACACACACACACACACACACACACACACACACACACACACACACACACACACACACACACACACACACACACACACACACACACACUCUCUAUAAGUGCAUGGCAUGCUCUCACACAGAGAGGGUGUGUGUUCCUGCAUGUGUCACACCAACAAAGAGGUUAUUCUAUGUGAACGUCUGAAUGAAAAGCACCAAAGAAUGAAUGAUAAUUUAUUCCUGAUGUACGGUUAGGCUUUAUGAAAUGCUGUUCACAUUCCAUUUCUGUCCUUGUUAAUGUCCUCAGUGAGCGUUCGACUUUAUAAACUAAAUAUUGUGUUUCCUCCCUUCAGGCCGUUGAUGAUAAUUACCCAGAAAACCACUAUGUUAUCUUUUCAAGUGCAUGAUGGUAUGUGUAAAAAGCGCGAGGACCUCACGGCUGAUCAGAGGCUCCAUGCUGUAGACUCCAAGCCGUCUCUGAUAGAAUACCUGAGCUACAAUCUGAACUUCCUCAGUAUCCUGGUGGGACCCUGCAGUCACUAUAAAGACUACAUAGACUUUAUAGAGGGGAGACACGUUCAGAGGAGGCUGUCAGGAUCCAACACUGGACAGAAUGGAUAUGAUAAAGUCCCAGAGCCCUCACCUAUGGCUGCUGUCACACGUAAACUGCUGAUCUGUGGUGUGUGCAUGGUUUUGUUCCUGACCCUCACCAAAGCGUUCCCCAUCACAUAUAACGUUGACAGCCAUUUCGUCAACGAGGCACCUUUCCUAACCAGACUGGCGUAUGCCUUCUUCUCUAUACAAGCUGCUAGACCCAAGUUCUACUUCGCAUGGACUUUAGCGGAUGCCAUCAACAAUGCAGCAGGUUAUGGUUUUAAAGGUGUGGAUGAAGCUGGACAGGUAUCCUGGGACCUCAUCUCCAACAUCAGCAUCUGGGAGAUUGAGACAGCAACUAGUUUCAAGAAGUUCAUAGAUAACUGGAAUAUUCAGACUGGUGUUUGGCUCAAAACUGUGUGUUACGACCGUGCUCCCCGUUACCCCACAGCCCUGACCUUCAUCCUGUCAGCUCUAUGGCAUGGAGUUUACCCCGGAUACUACUUCACCUUUAUUACUGCUAUACCCAUCACACUGGCAGCGAGAGCUGUGAGUACCAUUAUUACUGCUGUACCCAUCACACUGGCAGCGAGAGCUGUGAGUACCAUUAUUACUGCUGUACCCAUCACACUGGCAGCGAGAGCUGUGAGUACCAUUAUUACUGCUGUACCCAUCACACUGGCAGCGAGAGCUGUGAGUACCAUUAUUACUGCUAUACCCAUCACACUGGCAGCGAGAGCUGUGAGUACCAUUAUUACUGCUAUACCCAUCACACUGGCAGCGAGAGCUGUGAGUACCAUUAUUACUGCUGUACCCAUCACACUGGCAGUGCUGUGAGUACCAUUAUUACUGCUGUACCCAUCACACUGGCAGCGAGAGCUGUGAGUACCAUUAUUACUGCUGUACCCAUCACACUGGCAGUGCUGUGAGAACCAUUAUUACUGCUGUACCCAUCACACUGGCAGCGAGAGCUGUGAGUACCAUUAUUACUGCUGUACCCAUCACACUGGCAGCGAGCUGUGAGUACCAUUAUUACUGCUGUACCCAUCACACUGGCAGCGAGAGCUGUGAGUACCAUUAUUACUGCUGUACCCGUCACACUGGCAGCGAGAGCUGUGAGUACCAUUAUUACUGCUGUACCCAUCACACUGGCAGCGAGAGCUGUGAGUACCAUUAUUACUGCUGUACCCAUCACACUGGCAGAUAGAGCUGUGAGUACCUUUAUCACUGCUAUACCCAUCACACUGACAGGGCUGUGAGUACCAUUAUUGCUGCUGUACCCAUCACACUGGCAGGGCUGUGAGUAGCAUUACUACUGCUGUACCCAUCACACUAGCAGUGCUGUGAGUACCAUUAUUACUGCUGUACACAUCACACUGACAGAGCUGUGAGUACCAUUAUUACUGCUGUACCCAUCACACUGACAGAGCUGUGAGUACCAUUAUUACUGCUGUACCCAUCACACUGGCAGCGAGAGCUGUCCGUAAGAAUGUCCGUCAGUAUUUCCUGUCCUCUUAUCCUCUGAAGCUUGUCUAUGACGUAGUGACCUGGGCAGCUACUCAGCUGUGUAUCUGCUACACUGUCAUGCCCUUCCUACUGCUGGCAGUAGGACCUACCAUGCAGUACUACAG
Non-coding RNA from Salmo salar (Atlantic salmon), 2370 nucleotides. The record is from RefSeq and is a predicted model, not a curated record. NCBI's taxonomy places the organism in Eukaryota, Metazoa, Chordata, Actinopteri, Salmoniformes, Salmonidae.